Molecule: non-coding RNA, 3456 nt
Organism: Pelobates cultripes (western spadefoot toad)
Lineage: Eukaryota; Metazoa; Chordata; Amphibia; Anura; Pelobatidae
Source: the annotation of a GenBank genome assembly
AUUUAGUUUUUGUGGUUAGAAUUUUUUAUACUCCAUUUGAACUCAAUUGAAGUAUUACAACCAUAUCCUUGCAGGUAUAGGAAACAGCUGCAAUAUGAUUUUAAUAUUUGCAAUAUAUUAGUGUUCUGACAAUGGAAAAGUUCCUAACCGCAUGUCUGUAUUACACCUCUGACCCAGACUGUCAGUAUUGCAAACCCUAUAUGAAGACUCUGCUUUCACUGUUUAUGUAUACACCCCUAGACGACCGUGCUAUACGUGCACAAUAAAGCUUAUUAAUAUUAUAUCUGUGUGGUACACAAAGAGGUGUACACAAAGAGGGGGUGUGAGUUAGGUCAUCUCGACCUUCAUAUGGAAUAUGCUUCCUCCUUGUUCACUUUUGGUCAAACUGUUGGUCUGUGACUGGCCCUCUUUGACCCCAACUGAAUUUUUUGGGAAGAUACAUGAGAAAGAUACAGCAGGUUGUUUUGAUAUAAAGAAAGAGGGAAAAGUAUGUUGUAUCGGUCACAAAAGGAUUGUGAUCUUAAGCAGGCAAGACAAAGAAAUUUUGGAGGUGAUAGGAGAUUGAAUCAGAAAAGUUUCAGAGGCAGAGAAUUUGAUCAAAGGAUCUAACUUUUGUAGAGGUGGUAACUUCAGCACUGUUUUAAUUGUGGAUAGCAGGGAUUCACCCAAAGGUGCUUGUGGUGAACCCGGUUCUCCUGGUCAACCUAGUCAAGCUGGCAUUCAAGGACUCCCACCCUGGCAGGUUCCUCAAUACCAACCACAACUUUCAAGCUAUACCCACACCCAACAACCUCAGCCUAAUACACAGAUGGUUCAUGUUUUUAAUACUUUAUAUAUAUAGUUUUGAUAGAUAAAACAGUAUUAAUGCUGGCUCUUAGAGGAUGUACAAGCUAAAGUUGGGACCUAGACAUUGUUUGCAUAGGCUGUGCAAUGUGAAAUAACUAAAAUAAAAUAGGAUAAUAAGUAUGCUUAGUCAAUUUGUAACGUGGUAUCCUAGAGGUAUCUGCAAUAAAAUAAGUGGGUUUCCAAGACCUGACAAGUGAGGGCAACUUAAUAUAACAUAUGUCUACAGUUUGCUGUCCCUUCCUUAUCAGAGGCCACUUGCAACACAGCAGGACAACUCUUCUGAAACCUGUAUUAAACAAAGCACUUUAGAACAAUAGUAAUUCAUUUUGUGUCUCUAGUAGUUCUGAAAAAAUAUAUUGUUUAAGUGGGAUAACUGUAUGGAGGUUCUAACAUGUAUUAAAACAUGAUCACACACCUACAGAACUGGUGGCUUUUUGGACAUCGGGAUCUAUAAAGGGUUUCGGUUUCCAAAGAUGUUAUCAGGGUCCACAAAACUGACAGACUUCAGAAUUUCAAUGUUAUUAAAGUAAUUAAUUGAGAUUAUCAAAUCAAGGUUUAAAUUUAAGAACAGCAUUUUAUUGGGAAUUAUACCAAUAUGUAUAUGUUAUUGUUUUAGUACUCAACAAGCAUUUAUAUAGAAUGAGUGCUUCUCUCAUCCAUACAAAGGCAUUCUAAAGGGAAAUUAUGUAUUAAAAUUUUAUAAAGGACAAAUAAAAAAACAUAAACAUAAAGGACAUAAACAAAACUGAGAGAAGUACAUGUUACACUAGUUAAGAGUUUAACUUUAGUAUCCUAUUUGAGUUUAGCCUAGAUAAUUAAUUUAUUGAUGUCGUACUGAUCCUUGUGUUUGUAUGAUUAUAGAGACCGUACUGGAGUAUUUGUGCCGCCUGAUAUUUGGGACUACACACCAAUCUCUCUGGCUGACCUACCUGCCUACCUACCUUUUUUUGCAAUUAAAUCUGUUUGGUCAAAAUCCAUGCUGGCCGAAGAAACCGAGAUGCUUACUUAUGAGGACAUAAACUAACUUGGAAAGUCCUGAAGAUGCAGUGCUGUCUAAUGCCACUAUUUCUGUAUAACCCUUCAACAAUUGGGGUGUUGCACAGAGUAUUGUGGUGAACAUCCAGCAAACAGAAGUUUUUAAGAACUAUGUGGAAGCUGACAUUGUCUUGUUGUCAGCCAUAUUGCUACCCUUAGCUAUGUUAUGGUGUCUAAGAUUAUGGAACAAAGUUUAUGGUGUCUAAGAUUCUUUAUACUCCUUGAAAGACUUAUAAUAAUUUUCUGGACUAUGCUGGACAAUUGAACUAUUUUGUUAUUUUUAUUUUUGUAGCGUUAGCCAGAGAGAGAGGAAGUGUUAGCUUACUCAGGCAUGGAUGUACUAUGUGUGUCAUUGAUGUAUGUUGAGUGUACCAAGGAUGGAUUCCCAUGUAUUAAGUGUGGAUAUGACUGGACCAUCGAAAUAGGGAUUUGAUUAGGAGGCAUAGGACGCAAGGUCAUGAUUGGGAUUAUUGCUAGAAUUGCAAACUGAUUAGAAAUGAUCUCAUGAUUUAAUAUGUAAGUGGGCCUUUUCAAACUAAUCAAGAAGUGUUUCCCAAUCCCGAUACCCGAGCUAUUUACUUACAAGUGCAGGUUUUAUACGUCACUAAUGCUGUUAACGUGAGGGGAUGACAUGUCUACACAGUCAUGGCCCUCACUUAGAGUUUCCCCAGAUGUGCUUUUUUUCCUCAAUUAUGAGUUUUUGCCACUGGGUUUUUUGACCUGGCCCAAGUUCACUGGGUGGACUGGUAAUCCAAGACCCUGGUGCAAAGAGGGGAAAUAGAUUUUAUUCCCAUUUUUGAUUAUAUGUGUUUACGUUGUGAAUUAUAAUAAUAAUAAUAUUCCCGUUGUUGAGAAUAAUACACUUUGCCUGUUUUGAUCCAAGGCUCAAGUUACAGAUAACAUGAUGUGCAGUCUGUUUAAAAUUGAUUAAGAUGUCAGCUGUUUGAAAUAUUUAACUUGUACACUUAAAAGAUGUGUACAACAGAUGAUUACAGAAGCUGAAAAUCGACAGCUCGAUCUCCUCUUAAAGGGAAAACCUACGGCACAGAGCAAAUGGGGGAAAUCGAGGUGAAGAAAUAAUGAAAGUCCCACAGACGUGAUUAGCACGUCUGAAUAUAAAUCCUUUCGUUUCUCUGCCGCAGGCCUCCCAUGGAUAUUCCGUAAGGUAGAUCAUGAUAUGAUCUAAGAGGGGAAUUGUAGAUGCGAACAUCCAUUUUGCUCAAUAGCCUAGCUGUUCAUAUAAGGGUUAAUUUGAACCAAGAAUAGAUUUGGAAUUGUAUCUCCAAUUCUCGUAAAUAAAACGUAUCUAUUUACGGGAAAUGUUAUUGGAACAUGAUUUUGGAUAUCUACAUGACAUGACAUGACAUGAUAAGGAUUCUGGAAUGACCUUGUUAAUUGUCCAAGAUUGUGGUAUUUGUAAUCAUCUGGGUUUUAUCCAAUAUGCAUACAUUAUGUAACAUCGAAUUAUAACUAAAAACAGCUGUUUAUAACUUGUGAAAAACAAUGUCAUUGUCACGCCCAUAUGCUCAUUUUUCCCCCUCCCAUCCUGCUAUGAAAAUGGGGUAUAAAUAUAAC